CUAUCGGAGUGUAUAAAGGAAUGACAACUAACCUCCUGUAUCUCACAUUGUACCAAAGACAAAUCUGCCCUCUGACCUCUGGUUUUAAACCUGGUUUUUAUUUAUUUUCAUUUGUUUUGGUACUGGGAUUGAACUCAGGGCCACUCGAUCACUGAGCCACAUUCCCAGUCCUAUUUUGUAUUUUAUUUGGAGACCGUUUCUCAUUGAGUUGCUUAGCACCUUGUUUAUACUGAGGCUGACUUUGAACUCAUGAUCCUCCUGCCUCAGCCUCCCAAUCCUCUGGGAUUGAGCUGCUGGGAUUACAGGCAUGGGCUAAACUCUGGCUUUUAGAGGCAGCUGGGUGAAUUUGCUCCCAGCCUCAAGUGGGAGCUCCACAAGUAGAGCUCCCACUUGAGGGAAAUCAAAAAAGAUUUUGCAUCUAAUCUUUUAUAAGAGGGUCCUCACUGACAUUUGUCAUCACUACUGCCUCUAUGUGUCUUGUGUAUAAUCCCUGAGAGAGAAGAGCCUGUUCAGCAGGUGUGGCUGAUAAAUAGGCCAUGGUGAAUACUCUUUAGGAAUGUGUUUUUUCUAGUAAUCUAAAUGUUGACUGAUGAACUCUUUAUUAUGAUUUGGUGGAGGAAACUGCUUUAUCAGAUGAGAAGUUUAUCCUAGAAUUAUUAAAUGCAUAGAGAGACUAGUUCCAUGUCUUUCAAUCUUGUGAACAACCAGUUUUUGUAUUAUAUAUUCUCUGGCUUAUACCCACCAGGCCAAUGUACAAAUAACCCUUGUAAUGUGUUAACAUUUUAUUAAGAGAUGAAAUAGAAAGUGUUCCUAUGACACAAAAGCCCUUUACUUAAGGGGUACUGUGGGGUUAAGAAUGGUUUCUAUUCAAAUGGUUUCAUUAUGUUCUCCAUAAUGGGUGUGAUUGUUUAAUGAGAACAGAUUUGAGCUCAAAUUAUUGAACAUUAUUUGAGCAAUAAGAGCUCAAUAGACUAUGCCUUUUAAAGUAAUUAAUGUACGCCUUAGGGUAGGAUAACACAGAAAGAAACACUUAAUUGUCACCUUUCAUAAAAACAUAAUUUGCAAGAUGUAGGUUUGAAAGUACCAUAUUGUUCAUGUAACAGGGAAAAAAAAACACAGAAAGCUAUCCCUUUUGUAUAGUGGUCUAUUUCCUUUGAAGAAUUCCCUUUGUAGGCACAACUUUGUUUAAUAAAUUUCUGUUGAAAUCCUGUUAAAAGAAUGUUUCUUCCAGUUGAGGAAGAAUGACAUGCCUUCAGUUUUGCAUCUAAGGAACUUUUUUGUUGUGGCUCCCUGAUCUACCACUUGACUUGGCCUAAUCCUAGUUUUCUUGGAUCCAAUAUACCUUCUUUGAAGAACUUGAAAUAUUGCUGUUUCUUGCUUUUUUUUUUUUUUUAAUCAUCUGUUAAUAGUGGGAGAUAAAAUGCUAGACCUUUGUGCUAGACCUGAGAUACAGAGUACUUUGUAGCCUAUUUUGGAGAUAGCCCUAAGCAUUACAAAACAAAAUGCAAGGCAGUGUAUGUUUCCUUUUGUAAUAAUGGUGAGAAAAUAAAAAUUAGCUGAUACUGAGAAAGUGUGAGUCUGUAUUGUCUUUCAUCAGACCCUAGAUAAAAUUAGCUGUGAAGUUAUCUGGAAACAGAAUUUAUCCCAAAGACAUGCUACAACUUGCCAUAACUCCCUUUGUGUGACUACUGCUUUCUUAUUCACUGAGAAACUUUGUUCUUUGUAGACUUGUACGUUUUACUUCUGUGAAAUUGUGUUGGCAAAAACAAAGCAAACCAUCCCUUUUUUAUGUAGUUCACUUUGACACUGAGAAGUGGCUCCACUUCCAAAAGAAGUGCAGACCUUCAGAUGAAGGGUUCUCAAACACAACAUUUCACAUUUACUACUACUAAAAUGCUAAUUCAUUUAAAUUUCACCAAUGCCUCAAAUCUUUCACUUUCUACACUUCUUUCAUGUGUAGUUUCCUUUAUAGUCAUAGGUCAGAAAAUUUGAUUUUAUCAUUCUACAGGUUUGCUUCUGGAGGUUUUAGGCUGAUUGGAGUAGAAUAGAAGCAUGUUCUAUAUGUAAAGUGCACAGGAUAGAAAAAUUGAUUUUAACUCAGUAUUUAUAAACAUUCAAGAAGUCAGUUGCAUUAAUAAUUUUUCACUACUUUUAAGUUCAUUUGUUAUCACAGAUAUGAAACCAAGAAAAGAUUGUUUCCAUUUGAUAAUUCUUAAUUUAGCUUUAAAUAUAUACAUGUGUAUAUUUAUACAAUAUAGCAUUUAUCCUUGUACUGUAUCCUGUUUUUUACUUUUAAUGGUUUUCCAUGUAGGCAUUUUUCUUCCACAAAGUAUUAUCUGUUCCUGGAGGGUGAAGUCCAUGCUUCAUAUUUAACUCAACGUAUUUUUCAUCAUUUGGGCAUCCAGUAGAUGUUCAGUAAAUACUUUACUCAUUGAAUCAAAGAAGCUUCUAUUUUAGCUAUUCCCUUGGGACUUUCCCCAAAUUUUAAACUUAACAAAUUGUCUGUGGUAUCCUCUUCAUAGCAAUUGCACCUCUGCCUAAUACAGCACAAAUUACCCUUAGGCAAGGAGGCAUAGUGCAGUUGAAACUUUUUAUAGCUUCAUUUGUCUGCAGUCACCUAAAUGUCAAUGGAUAGAUAUGAUUGUCAUAAUUUUUGGUAAGUACAAAUAAGUCCCCCGUUAAUAGUAUCAUUAGAGAUGAAAUAGAUGCACAGGAACUAAAAGAGGUGAUAAACUGUCAGAUUGCACUCUUAGGAAAUACAGAGUGUCAUUGCAGUUUGAAAAUGUGCAGAAGUAAAUACACAAUUCCUCUCCAACCUAAUUUAUUUUUCCAAACCUUUACAUGUUUACAUUUGUUCAUCUAUUACUUUGGCUAGUCAUGGUGAAAUAAACCACUAAUUAACAAUAACUCAGGAAAACCAUUGAAAAUCAAUAGAUCUGAAUAUGGACACAGAAAAAGCAGCUUCCAUUUACUAAAUGUGCCCUCAAGGUGGGC
This 2994-nucleotide long non-coding RNA is filed under the name Marmota monax (woodchuck). Lineage: Eukaryota; Metazoa; Chordata; Mammalia; Rodentia; Sciuridae. The record is from RNAcentral.